GAUAGUAGUUACUGACAAUUUAAUAAAUUUAUUUAAAAUGAUUUAAUCUUUCUCAAAUCAAUUUCUCAAAUCGUUUCUCAAAUCAAUUUCAAUUUCUCAAAAUAUCAUAAGAACUUACUCAAACUCAUUUAAUGCAAAUCAGUUCAUUGAAACACUAUAAUACAUUUAUUCGCAUAAAAUCGAUGGAAUCAUAUAAUACUCAUCAUAUCAAAUACUGAAGACUAAAAACUGUCAUCAAACAAGUACCCAAGGGAUAAUCUGAUCAUAUCCGGACCUCGACGGACGGGCAAUGACGUACUAUCUGGGUAGCGUCACGCCCCGGAGCUACAACGGAUAGAUGGGGACGAUCUCAUCUCAUAUCUCAUAUAUCUGUACUGUGCAUGCAUAAGCCCCCAAAAGGCAAAAGCGCCCGAACACACGGCCCAAAGCCUCUAUGUGUGUCCCGACGGGCCCCAAAGGCCUCUAUCUCAUCUUAUCUGUAUCUCUUUUCUGUAUCUCUUUUCUCAUCUCAUAUUAUCUGUUUCUCUGUAUCUGGAGGGAAGGGUACUGUCUAAUGAUUUCAAAAAUAACAUAUACAUAAACAUAGAAUCUCAUCUGAAAUCUCAUUUUCUUUCUAUUCAACAUAUCUCAAAAUCUGUUCAAUUCUAAUAUCAUGCCUUUACUCAAAAACGCUAAUAAAAUCAUUAAUCAAACUCAUUCUCAAUAACAAUAAAGACCAACACAUAGAUAAAAAUUAAUUUGCCAGAAAAUUAUUUAAUCGAAGCAUUAAAUACUUAUCAUAAAACCAGCAUAUACUAUGAAAAUAGGUUUUGUAUAUUCCACUCACAGUGAUGAUGUCUAGACUCGGUAUCAACAACGUCCGCGGGUUGAUUCUCGUUCGCGGAUGCGGAUCCUCCUAAUCACGGAAACACUAUAAUUAUUCUCCGUAAAUAGAAAUACAACCAAUUUAAUAUAAUAAAUCUCGAAUCAAAUCUCUAUUAACGAUAAACUAUUCCCGCAUGAGUAAAAUUACCAAAAUGCCCCUACAUGCCAAAAUUACCAAAAUACCCCCAACAUCAAUAUUUUACCAACUUAUCCUCAAACUUCAUUAUUUUACCAAAUUAUCCUCAUAUUCGGCAAUUACCAUAUUGUCCUCAAUUCAGAUUACAUAAAUUAAUCACAUUGUCUGAAAUUACGAAAUUACCCUCGGGGCAUAAAAUUACCGAAAUGUCC
RNAcentral lists this long non-coding RNA (1212 nucleotides) under Citrus sinensis (sweet orange). RNAcentral describes it as "long non-coding RNA (CSIN_LNC003058)". The record is from RNAcentral. Lineage: Eukaryota; Viridiplantae; Streptophyta; Magnoliopsida; Sapindales; Rutaceae.